UUAAUUUUAAAAUAACGAUUUAGUUUAUUAAAUAUUUCUAUUUGAAAUAAAUUAUUGUAUCUCUUAAUUAAAUGAAUAUUUUUUCAGUGAAAAAUGAUAUUCAGAAGUGCUAUGUAUACCUAGUAUUCGUAGAAGUGAAUUGGGUGAUAAAUCUUCGUGCUGAAUCAAAUAAAAGCAAAGGUGUUCUCAUGCAUAAAUUCCGCACGCGCGGCGUGAUAUACAUGUACCGAUGAGAUAGUGUAGAAUCAUAAAUAUUGUGUCUUUUUAGUCGGUGAUCAAGAUUUCAAAGUGCAAUACUUCGUUCUCAUGGUUAACCAGGCAUGUCAUUUUUUCACUUUAACCAGAGACAAGAACCUGGUUCUUCGACAUUUCUCUACUUCCUGGGUCUUAAAUAGAUAUCUUAUUGUAAUAUAAAAAUGCGUAUUGAUAGAGAAAUAAAAAUAUGAAAAUUCGGAAAGACAGUAAAAAAUUCACAAGCGCUGAGUAUGGCGUCCAGCAGUGUACUGCUCAAACGAACGAAGGCUGGAAAAAUAUGAAAAAAUCAAUCAUAUUAACGAUUGCUGGAUUAGUUGAAUUCUUUUUACCAGAGAUGAACUAAGACGAAAGAGGAAUAGAGAGAGGACGCCGCAAUCGGAAAAUGUACUUCAAGAAGAAGAAGAACAAGAAGAAGAAAAAUUCCUCAACGUCGUUACACGAUCCUUCUCCUGUUAAGCAAGCUCUACGAAAACGAAAAGAACGAUAGAGGAAACGAAGAGCGGUGUCGUUAAAUUCCAUUUGCUCGUCUACGAAAAUAACACGAAAAUAGCGGAUGGCCGUUCGGUGGCCGCCUUUACGAUCCAAGUGUGUUGUAUCGUUUUUUUUUUUUUUUUCCCCUCUUUCCACGAGAGUUAAAGCUUCUGGUGGUAUCUAAGUGAAACGUAGAUGCACGCUAAGGGCUAAGGACGAUGAAGCUACGACGUUGUUCGUAUCUAUAAACGGGAGCGUAAAGUUCACUAAGGUGAACGAGACUUCGCGUUUCCGGUAAUAAGAUCUUAACACGCAACUGUUCGUAAAAUGCAAUUCUAGUUCAAACGAGAAUUUAAUAACGAAUCAUCUUGUUCCAUUCGAUUAUUCUUCCAUAUUUGAUCCACUUCUCUUAUUUGAUUCUAACCUAAUUCGCACAAAUGGAUGAUUAAAUUUUUUCAUUUAAAUAUAUAUUUACACGUGUCUUAAUUUAACACUGUCAAACAAGUGAAAUUGGCUAGUUUCAAAAUUUGAUUUCUUAAUCAAUAUAGAAUAUAUUAUCAAAACAAAUCCGUGUAUGUCGCUGAUAAAAUCUUCACAGAUGAAAGUUUAUAUUUUUAAUAGAAUAAUUAUUAAUAAACGCACAAAAAUUAUUUUAUUAUUGUGUGUAUAAUUUAAAUAACGUGUACCAGUUAUACCUUGAAAUAUAUUUUAAUAUACUGGUAUAUUUCU
Apis cerana (Asiatic honeybee) is the source of this 1455-nucleotide long non-coding RNA. RefSeq lists it as uncharacterized. The record is from RefSeq and is a predicted model, not a curated record. Lineage: Eukaryota; Metazoa; Arthropoda; Insecta; Hymenoptera; Apidae.